CAAGUCGAGCGGACCUGAUGGAGUGCUUGCACUCCUGAUGGUUAGCGGCGGACGGGUGAGUAACACGUAGGCAACCUGCCCGUAAGACCGGGAUAACUACCGGAAACGGUAGCUAAUACCGGAUAAUCAAGUCUCUCGCAUGAGAGGCUUGGGAAAGGCGGAUCAGUCUGUCUCUUAGGGAUGGGCCUGCGGCGCAUUAUGUAGUUGGUGGGGUAACGGCUCGCCAAGGCGACCAUGCGUGGCCGAACUGAUAGGGUGAACGGCCACACUGGGACUGACACACGGCCCGAACUCCUACGGGAGGUAGCAGUAGGGAAUCUUCCGCAAUGGACGAAAGUCUGACGGAGCAACGCCGCGUGAGUGAUGAAGGUUUUCGGAUCGUUUAGCUCUGUUGCCAGGGAAGAACGUCUUGUGGAGUAACUGCUACGAGAGUGACGGUACCUGAGAAGAAAGCCCCGGCUAACUACGUGCCAGCAUCCGCGGUAAUACGUACGGGGCAAGCGUUGUCCGGAAUUAUUGGGCGUAAAGCGCGCGCAAGCGGCUGUUUAAGUCUGGUGUAUAAUCCUGGGGCUCAUCUCCGGGUCGCACUGGAAACUGGACGGCUUGAUUGCAGAAGAGGAGAGUGGAAUUCCACGUGUAGCUCUGAAAUGCGUAGAGAUGUGCAGGAACACCAGUGGCAACAGCGACUCUCUGGGCUGUAACUGACGCUGAAGCUCGAACUCAUGCGCAGCAAACGUGGAUUAGCAUACCCUGAGUAGUCCACCUGGUAGACCAUGACUGCUACGUGUUAGGGGUUUCGAUACGCUUGGUGACGAACUAGACACAUUAAGCACUCCGCCUGGCGAGUACGGCCGGCAAGGCUGAAACUCAAGGUAAUUG
Molecule: ribosomal RNA, 879 nt
Filed under: Paenibacillus sp.
Lineage: Bacteria; Bacillati; Bacillota; Bacilli; Caryophanales; Paenibacillaceae
Description: bacterial SSU rRNA
Rfam family: Bacterial small subunit ribosomal RNA
Source: RNAcentral